Molecule: long non-coding RNA, 1013 nt
Filed under: Triticum aestivum (bread wheat)
Lineage: Eukaryota; Viridiplantae; Streptophyta; Magnoliopsida; Poales; Poaceae
Description: long non-coding RNA (TAES_LNC027310)
Source: RNAcentral
CAUCUCUCACACUUGAUGAUUACAUCUUGUUAUUUCUAACAUGUACACCAUCGGGCGAUUGCUUUAUUAGAAAUAUAUUUACACAAUAUGAUCAGAGCAACAUCAAGGAGUCGGAUGCUGGUGCACAGAUUCUCCUCAAAUUCCACAUGCAACCCUUGUAGAGAAGAACGACAUAUUUUUCUUAGGUGAUUUUUGAUUGAGCUCCUACAGAAAAACUCAAAGAAAUCAUGAGGAGCAUGGAGCCAUGCAAACUAAUUAUAGUAAAUCAUGAGAGAAGAAGCCUCUCAACCUACUACAGGGAAUCGAGUCAACAUUAAUUCGUGUAAGAAUUAAACCGUAAUGUCGAUCAACAACCCAGUAGUUGAUAAAAUAACCCUGACACAACCCAUUAAUACAAUAUAUAGUCACGUGAAGUAGACUGAGAUUGUGUAGAUAUCAUGAUCUACGAACCGUAUCUAUGAAUAUUGAUUGCAAAGUCACAAACAGAACCUCCUGACAUUACAAAACAAAUGUUUCAUCAACAGAAACUAUAGCGAAUGCCAAUUGGAUUAUAUAAGUAAGACAGAGACAUCGAAAAAAAAGAAAACAUAAUUCAAAGAGCAUAUAUUCUAUUAUCUUACUUGACAUCACAGAGAAUGCAAGUCAAAGAUAUUGCGAUACAUCUUACCCUUCUAUAAAUUGACUGCAAGGCAGAAUCCCCAGCAAAAUAUACAUAAUGAAUUGCUCCUAUGGUCCAAGUAUUGCAUAAAUAAUUAUAUAUAGACUAUUCAACAGUGAGCAAAAACUUGGCAUGUACUACCAAAAUCCCUUUGCUAUGGAGCUUAGUCUGCAUGUCUAUUCGUCUUUCUGUAAAUCAGUUGUGGCCAGGGUGUGCUGACAGCUCACCAGCCUCUCCCCGUUUACCAAUAAAAUCAAAGCAGCUCAAAGCAAUAAAAAAAUAACAUAGAUAUAUCUACCUGAUGUAAUUGCUUGUAACUCCAGAGUGUUGGUAGAGUCGAGAAGAGAACACCCAG